This 1463-nucleotide ribosomal RNA is filed under the name uncultured organism. Its description in RNAcentral is "SSU rRNA". It matches the Rfam family "Bacterial small subunit ribosomal RNA". The record is from RNAcentral.
GCCUAAUACAUGCAAGUAGAACGCUGAAGAGAGGAGCUUGCUCUUCUUGGAUGAGUUGCGAACGGGUGAGUAACGCGUAGGUAACCUGCCUUGUAGCGGGGGAUAACUAUUGGAAACGAUAGCUAAUACCGCAUAACAAUGGAUGACCCAUGUCAUUUAUUUGAAAGGGGCAAAUGCUCCACUACAAGAUGGACCUGCGUUGUAUUAGCUAGUAGGUGAGGUAACGGCUCACCUAGGCGACGAUACAUAGCCGACCUGAAAGGGUGAUCGGCCACACUGGGACUGAGACACGGCCCAGACUCCUACGGGAGGCAGCAGUAGGGAAUCUUCGGCAAUGGGGGCAACCCUGACCGAGCAACGCCGCGUGAGUGAAGAAGGUUUUCGGAUCGUAAAGCUCUGUUGUAAGUCAAGAACGAGUGUGAGAGUGGAAAGUUCACACUGUGACGGUAGCUUACCAGAAAGGGACGGCUAACUACGUGCCAGCAGCCGCGGUAAUACGUAGGUCCCGAGCGUUGUCCGGAUUUAUUGGGCGUAAAGCGAGCGCAGGCGGUUUGAUAAGUCUGAAGUUAAAGGCUGUGGCUCAACCAUAGUUCGCUUUGGAAACUGUCAAACUUGAGUGCAGAAGGGGAGAGUGGAAUUCCAUGUGUAGCGGUGAAAUGCGUAGAUAUAUGGAGGAACACCGGUGGCGAAAGCGGCUCUCUGGUCUGUAACUGACGCUGAGGCUCGAAAGCGUGGGGAGCGAACAGGAUUAGAUACCCUGGUAGUCCACGCCGUAAACGAUGAGUGCUAGGUGUUGGAUCCUUUCCGGGAUUCAGUGCCGCAGCUAACGCAUUAAGCACUCCGCCUGGGGAGUACGACCGCAAGGUUGAAACUCAAAGGAAUUGACGGGGGCCCGCACAAGCGGUGGAGCAUGUGGUUUAAUUCGAAGCAACGCGAAGAACCUUACCAGGUCUUGACAUCCCGAUGCUAUUUCUAGAGAUAGAAAGUUACUUCGGUACAUCGGUGACAGGUGGUGCAUGGUUGUCGUCAGCUCGUGUCGUGAGAUGUUGGGUUAAGUCCCGCAACGAGCGCAACCCCUAUUGUUAGUUGCCAUCAUUCAGUUGGGCACUCUAGCGAGACUGCCGGUAAUAAACCGGAGGAAGGUGGGGAUGACGUCAAAUCAUCAUGCCCCUUAUGACCUGGGCUACACACGUGCUACAAUGGUUGGUACAACGAGUUGCGAGUCGGUGACGGCAAGCUAAUCUCUUAAAGCCAAUCUCAGUUCGGAUUGUAGGCUGCAACUCGCCUACAUGAAGUCGGAAUCGCUAGUAAUCGCGGAUCAGCACGCCGCGGUGAAUACGUUCCCGGGCCUUGUACACACCGCCCGUCACACCACGAGAGUUUGUAACACCCGAAGUCGGUGAGGUAACCUUUUGGAGCCAGCCGCCUAAGGUGGGAUAGAUGAUUGGGGUGAAGUCAUAACA